CCUACGGGAGGCAGCAGUGAGGAAUAUUGCGCAAUGGGCGAAAGCCUGACGCAGCGACGCCGCGUGGAGGAUGAAGGUCUUCGGAUUGUAAACUCCUGUCAGAGGAGAAGAAAGUCCGAGCAAUCGGGUUUGACGGUAUCCUCAGAGGAAGCCCCGGCCAACUACGUGCCAGCAGCCGCGGUAAUACGUAGGGGGCAAACGUUGCUCGGAAUUAUUGGGCGUAAAGGGUGUGUAGGUGGCUGAGCAAGUCAAAGAUGAAAUACCGAGGCUCAACCUCGGAAUUGUUUUUGAAACUGCUCAGCUUGAGGAUAGUAGAGGAGAACGGAAUUCCCGGUGGAGCGGUGAAAUG
RNAcentral lists this ribosomal RNA (349 nucleotides) under uncultured Aminicenantes bacterium. RNAcentral describes it as "bacterial SSU rRNA". It matches the Rfam family "Bacterial small subunit ribosomal RNA", at positions 338 to 688 of the family's 1533-position model. The record is from RNAcentral. Lineage: Bacteria; Candidatus Aminicenantota.